RNAcentral lists this ribosomal RNA (494 nucleotides) under uncultured bacterium. Its description in RNAcentral is "partial 16S ribosomal RNA". It matches the Rfam family "Bacterial small subunit ribosomal RNA", at positions 28 to 507 of the family's 1533-position model. The record is from RNAcentral.
GACGAACGCUGGCGGCGUGCUUAACACAUGCAAGUCGAACGGUGAAGCGCCUUCCUUUUUGGUGGGUGUGGAUGAGUGGCGAACGGGUGAGUAACACGUGAGUAACCUGCCCCCUUCUUCUGGAUAACCGCAUGAAAGUGUGGCUAAUACGGGAUAUUCUGGGUCUGUCGCAUGAUGGGUCUGGGAAAGAUCUUGUUUCGGUGGGGGAUGGGCUCGCGGCCUAUCAGCUUGUUGGUGGGGUGAUGGCCUACCAAGGCGGUGACGGGUAGCCGGCCUGAGAGGGUGGACGGUCACACUGGGACUGAGACCCGGCCCAGACUCCUACGGGAGGCAGCAGUGGGGAAUAUUGCACAAUGGGCGAAAGCCUGAUGCAGCGACGCCGCGUGAGGGAUGGAGGCCUGCGGGUUGUGAACCUCUUUCGCCAGUGAAGCAGGCCUGCCUCGUUUGUGGGUGGGUUGACGGUAGCUGGAUAAGAAGCGCCGGCUAACUACGUG